RNAcentral lists this ribosomal RNA (882 nucleotides) under Protoceratium reticulatum. RNAcentral describes it as "LSU rRNA". It matches the Rfam family "Eukaryotic large subunit ribosomal RNA", at positions 68 to 910 of the family's 3401-position model. Lineage: Eukaryota; Dinophyceae; Gonyaulacales; Protoceratiaceae. The record is from RNAcentral.
AACAGGAUUCCUUUAGUAAUGGCGAAUGAAGAAGGAUUAGCUCAACAUGAAAAUUGGGGCUUCUGGCCUUGAAUUGUAGUUUGAAGAUGCAUUUGCCAAUGGACAUGAUAAUGAAAGCCUUUUGGGAAAAAGCAUCAACGAGGGUGAGAAUCCUUCUUGACAUUUCAAUUGUCCAUGUACGGUGUGCAUUGAAGAUUCACGUUCCUUGGGAUUUGAACGCAAACUUGUUGGUAAAUUUCAUUUAAAGCUAAAUAUUGGUUUGAGACCGAUAGAAAACAAGUACCAUGAGGGAAAAGUGAAAAGGACUUUGAAAAGAAAGUUAAAAGUGCUUGAAAUUGCUGAAGAGGAAGCGGGUGUAUUUCAAACACAAUUUUCAAGAUUGUUGUGCAUAUCUUUGAUUUCUUGUUGUCUUGACUUCAUCGCAGCAGCAAGACCUAUUAGUGAAUGUACAAUGUUGCUUGUGUUUUGUGCCUUCAUCGAUUUACAGCUAUAGAAACAACCUAAACAUGACUAUUUGCUCUUGUGCAAAUGAACGUUUGGGUGCAGAUUUAGCUUGUGAAUCGCCUUGCUUCUUGUUGUGUUGAUACCUCGGUGUCCACAACAUGAAAAUGAUGGCCAAAGAAAUACAUUCGGCCCGUCUUGAAACACGGACCAAGGAGUUUAACACAUGUGCAAGUUUGGUGUGUGAUGCUUCUUUGCGCAAUGAAAAUGAUAUUUGGUAUAUUCUUGCACCAAUAACCAACCGCUCAAUUGUGAGAGGUUUGAGUAUGAGCAUAUUUGUUAAGACCCGAAAGAUGGUGAACUAUGCCUGGGAAGGGUAAAUUCAGGGGAAACUCUGAUGGAGGCUCGUAGCGAUACUGACGUGCAAAUCGUUCGUCAUAC